This 65-nucleotide transfer RNA is filed under the name Coleonyx mitratus. RNAcentral describes it as "tRNA-Cys". The record is from RNAcentral. Lineage: Eukaryota; Metazoa; Chordata; Lepidosauria; Squamata; Eublepharidae.
AGCCCAGUGGUGAUAUCACAUCAAAAUGCAAGUUUGAAGAAGCACCCUAAUAGGUGCCGGGGCUU